GGCGGCGUGCUUACCAUGCAAGUCGACGGUGAAGCAGAGCUUGCUCUGUGGAUCAGUGGCGAACGGGUGAGUAACACGUGAGCAAUCUGCCCCUGACUCUGGGAUAAGCGCUGGAAACGGCGUCUAAUACCGGAUACGAGCUGCGACCGCAUGGUCAGUAGCUGGAAAGAAUUUCGGGUCACAGGGAGAUGAGAGCUCGCGGCGCUAUCAGCUUGUUGGUGAGGUAAUGGCUCACCAAGGCGUCGACGGGUAGCCGGCCUGAGAGGGUGACCGGCCACACUGGGACUGAGACACGGCCCAGACUCCUACGGGAGGCAGCAGUGGGGAAUAUUGCACAAUGGGCGAAAGCCUGAUGCAGCAACGCCGCGUGAGGGGAUGACGGCCUUCCGGGUUGUAAACCUCUUUUAGCAGGGAAGAAGCGAAAGUGACGGUACCUGCAGAAAAAGCGCCGGCUAACUACGUGCCAGCAGCCGCGGUAAUACGUAGGGCGCAAGCGUUAUCCGGGAAUUAUUGGGCGUAAAGAGCUCGUAGGCGGUCUGUCGCGUCUGCUGUGAAAACCCGAGGCUCAACCUCGGGCCUGCAGUGGGUACGGGCAGACUAGAGUGCGGUAGGGGAGAUUGGAAUUCCUGGUGUAGCGGUGGAAUGCGCAGAUAUCAGGAGGAACACCGAUGGCGAAGGCAGAUCUCUGGGCCGUGACUGACGCUGAGGAGCGAAAGGGUGGGGAGCAAACAGGCUUAGAUACCCUGGUAGUCCACCCCGUAAACGUUGGGAACUAGUUGUGGGGUCCAUUCCACGGAUUCCGUGACGCAGCUAACGCAUUAAGUUCCCCGCCUGGGGAGUACGGCCGCAAGGCUAAAACUCAAAGGAAUUGACGGGGACCCGCACAAGCGGCGGAGCAUGCGGAUUAAUUCGAUGCAACGCGAAGAACCUUACCAAGGCUUGACAUAUAGAGGAAACGUCUGGAAACAGUCGCCCCGCAAGGUCUCUAUACAGGUGGUGCAUGGUUGUCGUCAGCUCGUGUCGUGGAGAUGUUGGGUUAAGUCCCGCAACGAGCGCAACCCUCGUUCUUUUGUUGCCAGCACGUAAUGGUGGGAACUCAUGGGAUAACUUGCCGGGGUCACCUCGGAGGAAGGUGGGGAUGACGUCAAAUCAUCAUGCCCCUUAUGUCUUGGGCUUCACGCAUGCUACAAUGGCCGGUACAAAGGGCUGCAAUACCGUGAGGUGCAGCGAAUCCCAAAAAGCCGGUCCCAGAUCGGAUUGAGGUCUGUACAACUUGACCUCAUGAAGUCGGAGUCGCUAGUAAUCGCAGAUCAGCAACGCUGCGGUGAAUACGUUCCCGGGUCUUGUACACACCGCCCGUCAAGUCAUGAAAGUCGGUAACACCUGAAGCCGGUGGCCCAACCCUUGUGGAGGGAGCCGUCGAAGGUG
RNAcentral lists this ribosomal RNA (1428 nucleotides) under Microbacterium arborescens. Its description in RNAcentral is "16S ribosomal RNA". It matches the Rfam family "Bacterial small subunit ribosomal RNA". The record is from RNAcentral. Lineage: Bacteria; Bacillati; Actinomycetota; Actinomycetes; Micrococcales; Microbacteriaceae.